UGACUAAGAAACAGAGUAGUAAAUCAGUGGAAUAGAUUAGGUACACAAUACAUAGUAGCAAAUCACAAUUAUUUAGUGUUUGAUAAACCCAAAGAUUCAAGCUUUUGGGACAAGAAAUCACUAUUUGACAAAAACUGCUGGGAAAACUGGAAAAAGGUAGGUCAGAGACUGGGUAUAGACCAAUAUCUCACACCCUACACCAAGAUAAAGUUAAAAUGGAUAUAUGAUUUAGACAAAAAUCUAAAUGGAGCUACCAUUUCACUUUAUCUCUUUUCUUUUUAGUGUGUGUUCAAGUUCUCUUUCACAAAAUGGCUAAUAUGAAAAUAUGCUUUACACUAUUAGACAUAUCAUCUAUGUCAGAUUGCUUACUAUUUCAAGGAGGAGUGAGGGAAGAGAACUGAUGCUAGAUUUGGGCCUUGAUUGUUGGUUGCUCAAGGUUGUGCCCUUUUUACACUUCAGUAAAGUUAAAGGUCACCUGGAGCAAAGACAGAGACAAUGA
This 499-nucleotide long non-coding RNA is filed under the name Monodelphis domestica (gray short-tailed opossum). Its description in RNAcentral is "lncRNA (ENSMODG00000044841.1)". The record is from RNAcentral. Lineage: Eukaryota; Metazoa; Chordata; Mammalia; Didelphimorphia; Didelphidae.